RNAcentral lists this ribosomal RNA (1274 nucleotides) under human gut metagenome. RNAcentral describes it as "bacterial LSU rRNA". It matches the Rfam family "Bacterial large subunit ribosomal RNA", at positions 1298 to 2652 of the family's 2925-position model. The record is from RNAcentral.
CGGAAUGAGUAGCGCGAAUGCAGUGAGAAUCUGCAUGGCCGAAAGCCUCAGGUUUUUGGAGGAAGGUUCGUCCGCUCCAAGUUAGUCGGGAGCUAAGGUGAGGCCGGAAGGCGUAGCCGAUGCACAGACGGUAGAGAUUCCGUCACCACCAAAAGAGUUAAGCACAGGGACACAUUUGAAGUCUCAGAGCCGGGUGUUGGUUCCGGUAGAGAUCGAGGGAAAUUAGUACCGAAGUCUGAGAUGGAAGAUGGCGAGAAAAGCUGUGUGUAUUUCUGAGGUGCCCGUACCGCAAACCGACACAGGUAGGUAGGAAGAAGAUUCUAAGGCCAACGGGAGAAGGGUUGUUAAGGAACUCGGCAAAUUGACCCCGUAACUUCGGGAGAAGGGGUGCUCCAGAGAUGGAGCCGCAGAGAAUCGGCCCAAGCAACUGUUUACCAAAAACACAGGUUUGUGCUAAAUCGAAAGAUGACGUAUACGAGCUGACGCCUGCCCGGUGCUGGAAGGUUAAGAGGAGAUGUGCAAGCAUUGAAUCGAAGCCCCAGUGAACGGCGGCCGUAACUAUAACGGUCCUAAGGUAGCGAAAUUCCUUGUCAGGUAAGUUCUGACCCGCAUGAAAGGCGUAAUGAUUUGGGCACUGUCUCAACAGCCCGCCCGGCGAAAUUGUAGUACCGGUGAAGAUGCCGGUUACCCGCGACAAGACGGAAAGACCCCAUGGAGCUUUACUGUAGCCUAAUAUUGGGUUUCGAUGUUGCAUGCACAGGAUAGAUGGGACACUGGGAAACAAUCGCUUUGGCGGUUGCGGAGUGGCCGUUGGGAUACCAUCCUUGCGAUAUUGGAAUUCUAACCUGCGGCUCUGAAUCGAGUCGGGGGACAUUGUUAGGUGGGCAGUUUGACUGGGGCGGUCGCCUCCUAAAAAGUAACGGAGGCGUUCAAAGGUUCGCUCAGCUUGAACGGAAAUCAAGCAAAAGAGUGCAAACGCAGAAGCGAGCCUAACUGCGAGACUGACGGGUCGAGCAGUAACGAAAGUUGGAGUUAGUGAUCCGGUGGUAUGUGAGUGGAAAUGCCAUCGCUCAACGGAUAAAAGUUACCCUGGGGAUAACAGGCUGAUCUCCCCCAAGAGUCCACAUCGACGGGGAGGUUUGGCACCUCGAUGUCGGCUCAUCGCAUCCUGGGGCUGUAUUCGGUCCCAAGGGUUUGGCUGUUCGCCAAUUAAAGCGGUACGCGAGCUGGGUUCAGAACGUCGUGAGACAGUUCGGUCCCUAUCUGUCGUGGGC